AAAGUUUACUUUCUUUGUUUUAAAAACAAAAAUUAAUUUUUUAAUUAAAAAGUUAAGAUUUUAUUAGAGGACGAGAAGACCCUAUAGAACUUUAUUUUUAAAAUAAUAAUUAUUUAUUUGUAAAUAAUAAUUAUUUAUUUUUUUUAAAAAUUUUGUUGGGGUGACAAAAAAAAUUUUAUAACUUUUUUUAAUUUAUUCAUUUAUAUAUGAAUUUUUGAUCCUUUAUUAAGGAUAACAAGAUUAAGUUACCUUAGGGAUAACAGCGUUAUUAUUUUAGAGAGUUCAUAUCGAUAAAAUAGUUUGCGACCUCGAUGUUGGAUUAAAAUUAGUUUCAGGAGUAGAAGAUUGAUUACUAGGUC
RNAcentral lists this ribosomal RNA (359 nucleotides) under Excentricoris pictipes. RNAcentral's name for it is "partial large subunit ribosomal RNA". The record is from RNAcentral. Lineage: Eukaryota; Metazoa; Arthropoda; Insecta; Hemiptera; Miridae.